CACGUAGGCACCAAGCGUUGUCCGGAUUUAUUGGGCGUAAAGAGCUCGUAGGCGGUUCAGUAAGUCAGGUGUGAAAUCUUUGGGCUUAACCCAAAGCGUGCACUUGAUACUGCUGUGACUUGAGUUCGGUAGGGGAGUGGGGAAUUCCUAGUGUAGCGGUGAAAUGCGCAGAUAUUAGGAGGAACACCGGUGGCGAAGGCGGGUCUCUGGGCCGAUACUGACGCUGAGGAGCGAAAGCGUGGGUAGCAAACAGG
RNAcentral lists this ribosomal RNA (254 nucleotides) under uncultured bacterium. RNAcentral's name for it is "partial 16S ribosomal RNA". It matches the Rfam family "Bacterial small subunit ribosomal RNA", at positions 524 to 776 of the family's 1533-position model. The record is from RNAcentral.